This 440-nucleotide ribosomal RNA is filed under the name uncultured bacterium. Its description in RNAcentral is "partial 16S ribosomal RNA". It matches the Rfam family "Bacterial small subunit ribosomal RNA", at positions 338 to 795 of the family's 1533-position model. The record is from RNAcentral.
CCUACGGGGGGCAGCAGUGGGGGAUAUUGCACAAUGGGGGGAACCCUGAUACAGCGACGCCGCGUGGGUGAAGGAGUGCUUCGGCAUGUAAAGCCCUAUCGGCAGGGAAGAAGCAAGACGGUACCUGACUAAGAAGCCCCGGCUACUACGUGCCAGCAGCCGCGGUAAUACGUCGGGGGCGAGCGUUAUCCGGAUUCACUGGGUGUAAAGGGAGCGUAGACGGCCAAGCAAGCCAGGGGUGAAAGCCCGGGGCCCAACCCCGGGACUGCCCUUGGAACUGCAUGGCUGGAGUGCGGGAGGGGCAGGCGGAAUUCCUGGUGUAGCGGUGAAAUGCGUAGAUAUCAGGAGGAACACCGGCGGCGAAGGCGACGAUCUGGCCUGCAACUGACGCUCAGUCCCGAAAGCGUGGGGAGCAAAUAGGAUUAGAUACCCUAGUAGUC